Molecule: long non-coding RNA, 1543 nt
Organism: Cervus elaphus (red deer)
Lineage: Eukaryota; Metazoa; Chordata; Mammalia; Artiodactyla; Cervidae
Exons: 7
Source: RefSeq, a predicted model, not a curated record
CUGGGGCGAGGGCGGCGGGGGAGCGGGCGAGCCUGGCGGGGCGGGGAGCCGGGAGCGUGAGCUGGGAACGUGGGAGCGGCGAGCCCAGCCCGCACCGCAGGGGGCGUGUGAGCCAGAAACGGGGCCCUGUCAUUGGGAAACGGGCGCCGGCGUGAGCCGGGAGGGCGGGCGGUCGUCCUCGCCUGAGGGGCGGGCAGCUGGCCGUGGAACCCUGGGCCCUUCCGCGAGGGUCCGGCGGGAGCCGGGAGAAAGGUGCGAGGCGCCAGCGGUGGGCUUGGCCAGUGCCUGGGCCCUGCCGCCGCUGGGCUCCUAAUUGUUUUUAAUUUGAGGAUAAUGACAAUAUCCUGAUUUUCCUACCCAACACUUUGGCUUCUGAAGUGACAUUUAUCUAAAAACUGCUGCAUUGUUCCAGGUAAUGUUAACAAAACAUACAGAUUUGUCAGCAGAACUAGACUUAGAAAUGACAUGAGAGGAAGAACAAGAAAAAUCUGAUGGAGAUGAAAAUAACCAUUCACAGAUUGACCUUAAAGCAAGAAGAAGAGAAUAGAAGAAAUGCUGGCAUGUUAUAUGAAAAAAUUAGGGAGCAGUUAAGAAGAAAGGAAGACCAAUAUAGUAAAGAAGCUGAAAUGAAACAGCAACUUGAACUCACUCUCAGAGCACUAGAUGGAACUGAAGACUGAGAAAGGAUCUGAAUCAGGUUAUGGAAGUGUGACAUGACGCUCAGAAGCAGCUUUCUGGAGAAUGGAAUGCCAGAAGCUUACAGGAGGGAAUCCUGGCCAAUCACCUUGCCAAAGAAAAGCAGAAAGAAGUGGCUGAUAAAGAAAUGAACUCUUAGCAUCGAAAGGAACGAAGGGGAAGAAGCAGGAGCAGCAAGAGAAAUGGCGCUUUGAAAGCUUGCAGAGAUUGCCUGGAAGAACUGGAAGAGGUCUGGGACCUGACUUCACUUCUGCAAAGACACCUGGGGAGGUUCCCUGACAAGGACAGCUUUCAUCAGAUCUCAUGUCAAGAUUCACCUGGUGAGGUUUGCAAAGCAGUGCCUGCUGGAGCCCACCCACCAUGCAGGGAAGAGGCGGCUCCCACUAUUUCCCCAGCUCCUCUGACCAAGCAGCCUCUACCCUGCACUUCUGCCAUUUCUCCAGGGUCAGUUUCCACUUACUCAGAGUCAUACCUGAGUGCCUCUCCAACACCAGAGCCUUUCUUUCCCCUGGAAAGCCUUUCCCCCUGGCCACUGGCUGUUUCCCCUUCCCCACCAAGCCCGCCUCAUGGGAGAGCCUGCCCUCCACCUCCAGCACCCUGCUCUGCCCCAACACCAUGAGGCUCCAUGCUGAGUCUCACUCAGGGUGACUCCACGACACGCACACUGGGUACCAUCCCACACAGGUCAUCUCCACACUCCCUCUGGAGACUAGCCAUCCCAGGGAUUGUCCAUUCAAGCAGCCCUGGAUCGGCCCUGGCCUGGUGGCAGGAAGCAGCCACAGCCUGGAGCUUCUCCACCUCAACACACUUAGAGUCCCAGAAAGAAAGCCUUCCCCCCUACCCACCA